CCCGCCCCUUCUCCCGGGUGGCGCCCAGGCCAGACACCUCCUGCAAGCCCGGGCUGACGCCGGGGGUGUGCUCAGGACGAGCUCAGGAUGGGCUCAGGACAGGCGAGGGCGGCCGAGACUCCCGGGCCUGCAGGUCGGUGCCGCGUCAGCAGACGGGCUCAUUAGCGGAGUUAACCGUCAGGCAUAACGAGGGGGAAAAGGCUCAAUUUGUAAACAUUUGGUCAAUAUGAAUUAACGCCAACAGGAUGGAUUUGGGACCAGAUUGGACAAUGCCAUUGGCUGCACUGGACGCGCAGCAACAAUAGGUAAAUUAGGUCAUCACUGAAUCAUCAUGAGGAAAAGCGCCUAAUCGGCACCCUCGCUGGUAGAAAGAUUACGGUUAUUUACAAAAACCAUGCUGUUUGCAAAUUUGUGCAAAAUUAUUUGAUCCUAGCAGAGUUUUAUAGAGCUAUCUGCACAUUAUCUCCACCCGAGAUUCCCAGCCCUGCAUAUUAACUAAUGUCUGUGGUUUAAUUGGAAAUAGAACAGGCCACAUUGUAAAUCGCUUUUCUGCCAUCUGUCUCUGUCUCCACACGGGGCCGGAAGUGGAGGACACAGUGAACAGAUGGAUGGCAGGGACCCUGCACCGUCCGGCCCCACCUUACACCCCUCCAGAGCCUCGACCCACCCCUGCACCACCUGGCCCCACCCCACACCCCUCCAGAGCCUUGACCCACCCCUGCACCGCCCGGCCCCACCCCACUCCCCAACAGAGCCUCAACUUACCCCGGUCAUGGCUCGACCCUGACGCCGGCCACAGCCACGGGCACUGGAAAGAACCAGCCUCUGCACAGCCACACACAGGGCUGGGGGCGGCCCUCAGUGGGCUUGAAGCGGCAAUGGGCAGUAGCGUCUUCAGACCUGAAAGUUAAAGAAGGCGACGGAGGCCACGUCUCAGCAACCCACCCUUUGUGGGUCUUUCUUCAAUCAAAUUGACCACUGGAGCAAGGAGGGCGAAAAACGACCAGGAACAAGGCGUCGCCCAGAUGCCAGGGACUCCUGCGAGAUCCUGGGUUACUGCCAGGCCUCAGAACAGCCCAGAGUCACGCUGCAGAGGGGAGGCCCCACGAGCCUACAUGACCCGUUCCCCGGCCGAUGCCCGCCUGGCUCACCAGGUUCCUCACAGUCAUAUUUGCAUGCGUGGACAACCACAACCACAGACGCCUUAACAUAAAAAGCCCACGCAGGCCAGCCCUAGGACAGAUGUGACUGAAGAUCAGGCUCCAAGGGUGACGCUGGGGUUUCCAGUGACAGCCUGAACCCAGUGUUUGGCCCUGUCAGCACUUUUAUUCGGAGUGGAGCUUGGGCUACGGGGGGUGUCCUGAGACGGGGAUGAGAUCUGGAUGAACUGAGAUGAAUUCCGGAAGUUUGGAACCCCCCGAGCUCCUGGUCCCCGUGAGCCUCCCCUGGCAGCAGAAGCGGCCCCUCCCGCCAUCAGAAGGGACCCACCCCCCGUGCUGCCCCCCACACCAGCGCCCCCCGGCUGGCUGCCCUCCCCACACCCAGAAGGAAACUGUCCUGUUUUCCCUGAAUACGCAGCCUGAGGGACAGGAGACCAUGCGAGGACACAGGGAAGCAGUGCGGACGUGGAUUCUGAGGGUGUCACACCAAGGGGGACAGGUCUGGGCUGAAUGUUCCCACUGCCACAGUUGGAGGUGGCUCUCAGAGUUCGCUUGGACUCUAGACUGUGGUGGCCUGAUCCUGUGAGGCUGAGAUGCCACAGCCCCCUGCACCGUGGGAGGAGGAAGCCGGGCCACCUGAGAAGGACGAGGGAGCCCUGGGAGACGGCAGGAGGCGAUCGAAUCAGUCGGCCUCACGUACAGCACAGAAAUGGAGCUGGAGGUUCCAGCGUCUUCGCCUCCAAUCCAGUCGUCUCAUUAAUGCAAUUACGUCUUUUUAUCCUUUCUUCUAUCCUUUCUGGUUUUUUGCUGUUGUUGUCUUU
Molecule: long non-coding RNA, 1981 nt
Organism: Chlorocebus sabaeus (green monkey)
Lineage: Eukaryota; Metazoa; Chordata; Mammalia; Primates; Cercopithecidae
Source: RefSeq, a predicted model, not a curated record